CUGCAGCCAAUUAAGCCAAAUGUGCUCUUUCCCCAUGGGGCCCAGUGUGCAAUGGCUGCAAACAGUGCCCUCCUUGGUAGUAUGUGCAGCCUGUUGGCCUGUAUGAGUUGCUUCAAGGGACCUUGGAGACAGUG
This 134-nucleotide small nucleolar RNA is filed under the name Neogale vison (American mink). Its description in RNAcentral is "Neovison vison (American mink) Small nucleolar RNA SNORA70 (ENSNVIG00000011738.1)". It matches the Rfam family "Small nucleolar RNA SNORA70". Rfam says of the family: snoRNA U70 seems to be exclusive to mammals and is a member of the H/ACA class of snoRNA which contain H (ANANNA) and ACA box motifs. H/ACA box snoRNAs are involved in the conversion of uridines to pseudouridines (5-ribosyluracil) a constituent of structural RNAs (transfer, ribosomal, small nuclear, and small nucleolar). The record is from Rfam by way of RNAcentral. Lineage: Eukaryota; Metazoa; Chordata; Mammalia; Carnivora; Mustelidae.